GGACCCGUGGCCUAGCAUGGAUGGGGCGACUGCCUCCUAAGCAGUAGAUCGUGAGUUCAAAUGCAAACAGACCUGCGCAA
RNAcentral lists this transfer RNA (80 nucleotides) under Candidatus Woesearchaeota archaeon CG10_big_fil_rev_8_21_14_0_10_36_11. RNAcentral's name for it is "tRNA-Arg". The record is from RNAcentral. Lineage: Archaea; Nanobdellati; Candidatus Woesearchaeota.